This 23-nucleotide microRNA is filed under the name Caenorhabditis elegans. The record is from RNAcentral. Lineage: Eukaryota; Metazoa; Nematoda; Chromadorea; Rhabditida; Rhabditidae.
AAAAGACGUAGAUCGUGGCGAGA